RNAcentral lists this long non-coding RNA (1362 nucleotides) under Cucumis sativus (cucumber). RNAcentral describes it as "long non-coding RNA (CSAT_LNC000090)". Lineage: Eukaryota; Viridiplantae; Streptophyta; Magnoliopsida; Cucurbitales; Cucurbitaceae. The record is from RNAcentral.
ACAAUCAACACAAUUUCAAUUAAUAAAAUAAAUAAACUGUUCAUAGGCUAUGGAGAAAUGGAAUUAUCACCGUAAUUAAAGUAAUUUAGCUGUAAUUUAGGAAUACAUUAUUGUAAUUAGAUUAAUUUGAUCCUUUCCUUAUAGGUUGUCCAAAUUAACUAUAUAUGUAUCAUUGUAUUAUUGAUUUUAAAUAACAAAUAAAGAAGAUCUAGAAUAUUCUCCAUAUUAUUCACAUGGUAUCAGAGCCAAAACCCUAGACUUACUGUAGCCGCCGCCGUCGCCGCCGCCGGAAAAACUCUGCCGUGAAGUCCUGCCGUGAAGACGCUUCCGCGAACGCCAGAUCUCCCUUCAGUCAAUCUUCCUGCCGCAGCCUUCUUCCACGAACGCCAGACGCAAGACCUUCCCUCGGUCCUUGCCGUGAAGCCCUGCCGUGAAGCCCUGCCGUGAAGACACUUCCGCGAACGCCUUGCCGUGAAGCCCUGCCGUGAAGACACUUCCGCGAACGCCUUGCCGUGAAGCCCUGCCGUGAAGACACUUCCGCGAACACCUUGCCGUGAAGCCCUGCCGUGAAGACACUUCCGCGAACACCUUGCCGUGAAGCCCUGCCGUGAAGACGCUUCCGCGAACGCCAGAUCUCCCCUCGGUCAAUCUCCCUGCCGCAACCCUCUGCCGUGAAAACGCUUCCACGAACACCGCGCCGCGAACUCCAGCAACCUCCUACCAAUAUUCUGUGAACUGUAUACUCGCCGCCGUCGCAAGCACCCUCCUGCCUUGAAGACCUCUGCUGGCGACCUCCUGCCGUGAAGAAACAACCGCGCCGCGAACUCCAGCAACCUCCUGCCUCGAAUCCCAACUGCAAUUCCAGUGAAAUCCCAGCCACGAACUUUAGCCUCGAAUCCCAGCCGCAAAUACUCUGUGAAUCUCCAGCAGCUAAUUAUAUUUAGAUGGAGAAACAUGAAGUUGCUCGUCCCAUUAGCACCAUUCUCGAUGGAACUAAUUAUAUCACUUGGGCCCACCAAAUGAGGAGUUUUUUGAUAGGUCGAAAACUGUGGCGCAUCGUUACUGGAGAUAUCACUAAACCAGUCAAACCUACUCCUCCGAUGGACACCACUGAAAAUAUUGAUACAGACCCAUCUGAUGUCACUGUUCAAGAGACGACUGCAGAAACCGACAAAUAUGAUUCACACUCAAUUCUCCAGCAAAAUUAAAAUCUUUCGAACUGAUAAUGCGAUGGAAUAUAAGGACUCUCAACUUCUUUCCUUCCUUGCCCAGCAAGGCACUCUGAUUCAACGCUCCUGUCCUCACACCUCUCAGCAAAAUGGAAGAGCUGAACGCAAACAUCGUCACAUUCUUGACUCUGUU